AACAAGAACUAAAUUAUUAUCAAAUCUUGGCAUUUUUUGUGGCAAAAUGGAAGAGUACUGACAUUUUUUUACCUGUGUUCAGGCAAGGAGCAGCUAGGAGGAGUCUAAAAAUAAGCUCAGAACUUUGCACCAAAUCCUCCCCCUUGCACUGGCAGAUGAAGCUGAACCAUGAACCUUCCCAGCCCGGACCCAGAGUGAAGAUUAAUUUAAGGGGCAUUCAUCCAUUUAGUGGAAAUGAGUCAUUCUCAUCAGCAGUAAUGGGAAUUACAGAAGGGCUCUGGUUUCACAAAGAACCUGCUUAAACCUAAGAAAGCUGCAGAUGGGCGUUGAUGAUCUGUAUGGGGUUUAACUUUCCCUCUGGACCCUCCUGGUGUUCAGGACUAGGACAAGUCAGACUUCGCCCUCUUCCAGAGCAUUGCUUUUGGCAAGAGACUUUGUCAACAAGA
This 446-nucleotide long non-coding RNA is filed under the name Gallus gallus (chicken). RNAcentral describes it as "lncRNA (ENSGALG00010007646.1)". Lineage: Eukaryota; Metazoa; Chordata; Aves; Galliformes; Phasianidae. The record is from RNAcentral.